GGAUAGCGUGCAGGGACUCAAAAUGCGGAGGUGGCGGGUUUUGAAACCCGUAACAGCUAGUUGUUGAUCCAGUCAACUAGCACCACCCUCAGUCAGGAGGAGGAUGACCUGCUAGCUGUGCUAACCAUAAGGGUUGUGGCUGGCUGUUGGCGGCAACUGGACGAGGCACACCUGCAUCCAAUCAUCAUCCUCCUCCAUAUAAACCUGGGCGUCUCAUCAAGUCGACGCCAGAUUAUUCCGUCCACUACGAACUCUCGUUUGCAUCAUCGCCCGGCUCGUCGUCCUCCCCGUUGCCAGGAUCCUCGCUAGCCAAUAAACUUUGUUCACAUAUCUAACUACAAACCUCUCCAUGUCUGCUUUGGGGCCCGAACCUUCACCUAAACUUAACAGAAUAAUCUGGCCAUAACAUGGACCCCGCAGAGAGACGUGGAGAAAUUCAGACUGGCGCUUUAAUCCCAAGGGAGUCGAGUGGGGCAGCAUGAGGCAGCCUUAAACGAGGUGAUGGAGACGCUCAACAGGCUUACCUCCACAGUCGCGCAAAUCGGCAGCCGAAAGGACCAAGUUUCUACUCACCUCUCCACGCUGACUGCUUCGUCUCCCGCUCCAGCUCUGGUCCCGGCUCUUGCCCCACCACCUCCUGCGGCUCCGCCGAGCUCUUCCUCCACUCAACCCCGGGAACCCAUCAUCCCCACACCCGUUAGGUUUUCGGGUCAGUCAGGGUCCGGUAGAGAAUUCCUUUUUCAAUGUAAUCUCGUUUUUGAACAACAGCCCUUCACUUACGCUACCGUCAAAUCGCGGGUAGCGUUUGUUAUGAGUUUCCUAUCUGAGAAAGACGCGGCUUGGGCUGCAAAGCUCUCGUUUAGCCAGUCUCCGGUUUGUUUUUCCUUUUCCUCCUUCUCAGGAGUUUCUUAAAGUGUUUGACCACCCGCUGCGUAGCAAGGAGGCUAGCAGUCGGCUCCUGUCGCUACGACAGGGAGGAGACUCCGUAGCUAAGCAUUUGGUGAAUUUCCGGAUUCUAGCGCUUGAGGCCGGGUGGGAUGAAAGAGCGUUGCAGGGGGGUUUUCUCCGGGGAUUGAGAGAAGAGUUGAGGGACGAAUUGGCUGCUCGGGAUGAGACAUCCUCUCUAGAUGAAUUAAUUUCG
This is a long non-coding RNA of Gasterosteus aculeatus aculeatus (three-spined stickleback), 1141 nucleotides long. The record is from Ensembl. Lineage: Eukaryota; Metazoa; Chordata; Actinopteri; Perciformes; Gasterosteidae.